UGCCUGGUUGUCUAGUGGCUAGGAUUCGGUGCUGAAAGCGCCACGGCCCGGGUUCGAUUCCCGGUCAGGGAA
Molecule: transfer RNA, 72 nt
Organism: Pan troglodytes (chimpanzee)
Lineage: Eukaryota; Metazoa; Chordata; Mammalia; Primates; Hominidae
Rfam family: tRNA
About the family: Transfer RNA (tRNA) molecules are approximately 80 nucleotides in length.
Source: Rfam